Molecule: ribosomal RNA, 440 nt
Filed under: uncultured bacterium
Lineage: Bacteria
Description: partial 16S ribosomal RNA
Rfam family: Bacterial small subunit ribosomal RNA
Source: RNAcentral
CCUACGGGCGGCAGCAGUGGGGGAUAUUGCACAAUGGGGGGAACCCUGAUGCAGCGACGCUGCGUGGGUGAAGAAGCGCCUCGGCGCGUAAAGCCCUGUCAGCAGGGAAGAAAAUGACGGUAUCUGAAGAAGAAGCCCCGGCUAACUACGUGCCAGCAGCCGCGGGAAUACGUAGGGGGCAAGCGUUAUCCGGAUUUACUGGGUGUAAAGGGGGCGCAGACGGCGAUGCAAGCCAGGAGUGAAAGCCCGGGGCCCAACCCCGGGACUGCUCUUGGAACUGCGUGGCUGGAGUGCAGGAGGGGCAGGCGGAAUUCCUGGUGUAGCGGUGAAAUGCGUAGAUAUCAGGAGGAACACCGGUGGCGAAGGCGGCCUGCUGGACUGCAACUGACGUUGAGGCCCGAAAGCGUGGGGAGCAAACAGGAUUAGAUACCCUAGUAGUC